Molecule: ribosomal RNA, 859 nt
Filed under: uncultured bacterium
Lineage: Bacteria
Description: bacterial SSU rRNA
Rfam family: Bacterial small subunit ribosomal RNA
Source: RNAcentral
CAAGCGGAACGAUGAUAGCUUGCUAUCAGGCGUCGAGCGGCGGACGGGUGAGUAAUACUUAGGAAUCUACCUAGUAGUGGGGGAUAGCACGGGGAAACUCGUAUUAAUACCGCAUACGACCUACGGGAGAAAGGGGGCAGUUUACUGCUCUCGCUAUUAGAUGAGCCUAAGUCGGAUUAGCUAGAUGGUGGGGUAAAGGCCUACCAUGGCGACGAUCUGUAGCUGGUCUGAGAGGAUGAUCAGCCACACCGGGACUGAGACACGGCCCGGACUCCUACGGGAGGCAGCAGUGGGGAAUAUUGGACAAUGGGGGAAACCCUGAUCCAGCCAUGCCGCGUGUGUGAAGAAGGCCUUUUGGUUGUAAAGCACUUUAAGCAGUGAAGAAGACUCUUCGGUUAAUACCCGGAGACGAUGACAUUAGCUGCAGAAUAAGCACCGGCUAACUCUGUGCCAGCAGCCGCGGUAAUACAGAGGGUGCAAGCGUUAAUCGGAAUUACUGGGCGUAAAGGGAGCGUAGGUGGCUCGAUAAGUCAGAUGUGAAAUCCCCGGGCUCAACCUGGGAACUGCAUCUGAUACUGUUGAGCUAGAGUAUGUGAGAGGAAGGUAGAAUUCCAGGUGUAGCGGUGAAAUGCGUAGAGAUCUGGAGGAAUACCGAUGGCGAAGGCAGCCUUCUGGCAUAAUACUGACACUGAGGCUCGAAAGCGUGGGUAGCAAACAGGAUUAGAUACCCUGGUAGUCCACGCCGUAAACGAUGUCUACUAGUCGUUGGGUCCCUUGAGGACUUAGUGACGCAGCUAACGCAAUAAGUAGACCGCCUGGGGAGUACGGCCGCAAGGUUAAAACUCAAAUGAAUUGACGG